This 312-nucleotide long non-coding RNA is filed under the name Ovis aries (sheep). RNAcentral's name for it is "lncRNA (ENSOARG00000025515.1)". The record is from RNAcentral. Lineage: Eukaryota; Metazoa; Chordata; Mammalia; Artiodactyla; Bovidae.
AUGACCAGAAAUGGGCAAAGCAUGUGGACCGAACUCUCCUUUCUCAGCCAAAAAGAUAACCAAUACAGAGUGUUUGGACAGCUUUCCUUCUCACUAACUUGUAUAAGUUCCUCAAUCAACUGCUAUCUUGGUAUUAGAAGAGCUAUCAAUUCAAAAGUAUAUCCAGAAUUGCUGUAUUCUCCAAAGCUUGUUUUUCACAUCUACUAUCACCUACAUUGCUGUAAAAGCUCCCCAACUCUUCUUCUUGCUUCUACUCUUGAAGCUUCACCUCCAAAAUCUAUUCUCAAAAGAUCAACCAGAAUGAUCCCUUAA